GUUGCUUCAAAAACCAGGGCUGGAACCUUAAGAAACAUUAACAUUGUGUGGAACUGGAGUAAAUUACCCAACCAAACAAUGGACAAAGGUAAAAGACAACGUUCAAAGAAUUUCAGUGACUUUGAAAGGACCCUUUUGAAGCAAAUUGUGUCAAACCACCCAAUUAUUGAGAACAAACAGCAUGAUUCAGCAACAGAAAACAAGAAAAAGACUGCUUGGACUUCAAUUUGCAAUGAAUUUAACUCAAAUGAAAAAGUAAGCAACAGGACACUUCAACAACUUCAGACCGGAGACCGAUGACCUAGAAGACUUGUUGACUUUGAUUAUUGAUAGCCAGCAGCCCCUGGAAGGUAUCCCUGAUGAUGAUGAUGUGGACAGUUCAGAUGGGGCCCCGUUCCAAUCCUCAUUUGGUCCUGAGACAGGAUGAAAGUCAGCCCACUACAGCUGCAGCAGCCUGGAGGGAAGAUGGUGUCACUAAUUCUGGCCAGAUGAGAAGGACCAAGAGGCUGAGCAUGCACGAGA
Perca flavescens (yellow perch) is the source of this 522-nucleotide long non-coding RNA. RefSeq lists it as uncharacterized. The record is from RefSeq and is a predicted model, not a curated record. The transcript has 3 exons. NCBI's taxonomy places the organism in Eukaryota, Metazoa, Chordata, Actinopteri, Perciformes, Percidae.